UUGCUUGAUUCGGGAGCACAUAUACUAAAAUUGGAAUGAUCCAGAGAAGAUCAGCAUGGCCCCUGGGAAAGAGUGACAUGCAAAUCCAUGAAGAGUCCACUUUUUUU
Small nuclear RNA from Otolemur garnettii (small-eared galago), 107 nucleotides. The record is from Ensembl. NCBI's taxonomy places the organism in Eukaryota, Metazoa, Chordata, Mammalia, Primates, Galagidae.